UGUGUAGGCGGUUGGAUAAGUGUGGUGUGAAAUCUCCCGGCUCAACUGGGAGGGUGCGCUACAAACUGUCUGACUAGAGUGUGGGAUGGGAGAGUGGAAUUCCUGGUGUAGCGGUGAAAUGCGUAGAUAUCAGGAGGAACACCGGUGGUGUAGACGGCUCUCUGGACCAUAACUGACGCUGAGACACGAAAGCGUGGGUAGCAAACAGGAUUAGAUACCCUGGUAGUCCACGCCCUAAACGAUGCAUAUUUGGUGUGGGCGAUUCAUUUCGUCCGUGCCGGAGCUAACGCGUUAAAUAUGCCGCCUGGGGAGUACAGUCGCAAGGCUGAA
RNAcentral lists this ribosomal RNA (330 nucleotides) under uncultured bacterium. RNAcentral's name for it is "bacterial SSU rRNA". It matches the Rfam family "Bacterial small subunit ribosomal RNA", at positions 568 to 898 of the family's 1533-position model. The record is from RNAcentral.